This is a long non-coding RNA of Prosopis cineraria, 514 nucleotides long. RefSeq lists it as uncharacterized. The record is from RefSeq and is a predicted model, not a curated record. The transcript has 3 exons. NCBI's taxonomy places the organism in Eukaryota, Viridiplantae, Streptophyta, Magnoliopsida, Fabales, Fabaceae.
AGAAAAGAAAGAAAACAUGAGAAGGUGAGAGAAGAUGUUUCUCCACAAGGGCUUCACUUUUUGAGCUUUUGGGAAGAUAUUUGAGCUAGCCACACACUUGGAUUAAAUAUUGCUACAUGAGUGGACCUUGUGGAGCACAUAUUCAACUAUUGUAACCUUUUUGUGACAAAGGGUUGAGGUAAGGGCUUGGAUAAGGCCAAAGGAAAGAAAGACUUAGCUGGGAUUUGAAGAGCAUGUGUUUGUAUAGCUCUCCCCCUUCUUUUUGGUUUUGUAAUGAAUAUUUUAGGAAUCUUAUGCCAACUUAGGAUCAUGUAUUAUUUUAAAGUCACUUGCAUGAGAAAAUAUGUAAUUAUGGAUAUCUCAACUUUAGAUGAUGUAAUUGUGAUGAAAUUGAUGUGAGAGGUCAAGAUAUUAGUAUAAGUGAUGUUUUGUGUUGAUCAUGUGGUGGAAUGGCUAUGUGAAUGCUUAAAUGUAUUCAGUUGUUACCCCUUGAAUCCAUUAUGAAAUUGGAAUU